RNAcentral lists this unclassified non-coding RNA (372 nucleotides) under soil metagenome. RNAcentral describes it as "partial contains 5.8S ribosomal RNA, internal transcribed spacer 2, and large subunit ribosomal RNA". The stretch from base 1 to 121 matches the Rfam family "5.8S ribosomal RNA", at positions 35 to 154 of the family's 154-position model. The record is from RNAcentral.
GAUGAAGAACGUAGCGAAAUGCGAUAAGUAAUGCGAAUUGCAGAAUUCCAGUGAGUCAUCGAAUCUUUGAACGCACAUUGCGCCCUUUGGUAUUCCGAAGGGCAUGCCUGUUCGAGCGUCAUUAUCACCCCUCAAGCCCUCGGCUUGGUGUUGGACGGUUUGGUGGAGGCCCCCUCGGGGGUUCCUGCCCCUCCCAAAGACAAUGACGGCGGCCUCGUUGGACCCCCGGUACACUGAGUUCUUCACGGGACACGUAUCGGACACAUGGGUUUACGGGACACGGUCUGCCUCCCCUCAGGGAGAUCUUUCUAAGGUUGACCUCGGAUCAGGUAGGGAUACCCGCUGAACUUAAGCAUAUCAAUAAGCGGAGGA